UACGUAGGUGGCAAGCGUUGUCCGGAUUUAUUGGGCUUAAAGGGUGCGUAGGCGGCCCUGUAAGUCAGUGCUGAAAUAUCCCGGCUUAACCGGGAGGGUGGCAUUGAUACUGCAGGGCUUGAGUGAAGUCGAGGUAGGCGGAAUUGACGGUGUAGCGGUGAAAUGCUUAGAUAUCGUCAAGAACACCGAUAGUGAAGACAGCUUACUAGGCUUAUACUGACGCUGAGGCACGAAAGUGUGGGGAUCAAACAGG
Molecule: ribosomal RNA, 253 nt
Filed under: uncultured bacterium
Lineage: Bacteria
Description: partial 16S ribosomal RNA
Rfam family: Bacterial small subunit ribosomal RNA
Source: RNAcentral